UGGGGAAUAUUGGACAAUGGGGGAAACCCUGAUCCAGCCAUGCCGCGUGAGUGAUGAAGGCCUUAGGGUUGUAAAGCUCUUUCGCCAGGGAAGAUAAUGACGGUACCUGGAAAAGAAGCCUCGGCUAACUCCGUGCCAGCAGCCGCGGUAAGACGGAGGAGGCUAGCGUUGUUCGGAAUUACUGGGCGUAAAGCGUGCGCAGGUUGUGAGUUCAGUUGGAUGUGAAAGCCCGGGGCUUAACCUCGGAUGUGCAUCCAAUACUGGCUCGCUGGAGGUUGGAAGAGGAGAGUGGAAUUCCCAGUGUAGAGGUGAAAUUCGUAGAUAUUGGGAAGAACACCAGUGGCGAAGGCGGCUCUCUGGUCCAUACCUGACACUCAUGCACGAAAGCGUGGGGAGCAAA
RNAcentral lists this ribosomal RNA (400 nucleotides) under uncultured bacterium. RNAcentral's name for it is "bacterial SSU rRNA". It matches the Rfam family "Bacterial small subunit ribosomal RNA", at positions 355 to 772 of the family's 1533-position model. The record is from RNAcentral.